CGUUAACGCUGGCGGUAGGCCUAACACAUGCAAGUCGAACGGCAGCACAGUAAGAGCUUGCUCUUACGGGUGGCGAGUGGCGGACGGGUGAGGAAUACAUCGGAAUCUACUUUUUCGUGGGGGAUAACGUAGGGAAACUUACGCUAAUACCGCAUACGACCUACGGGUGAAAGCAGGGGAUCUUCGGACCUUGCGCGACUGAAUGAGCCGAUGUCGGAUUAGCUAGUUGGCGGGGUAAAGGCCCACCAAGGCGACGAUCCGUAGCUGGUCUGAGAGGAUGAUCAGCCACACUGGAACUGAGACACGGUCCAGACUCCUACGGGAGGCAGCAGUGGGGAAUAUUGGACAAAGGGCGCAAGCCUGAUCCAGCCAUACCGCGUGAGUGAAGAAGGCCUUCGGGUUGUAAAGCCCUUUUGUUGGGAAAGAAAAGCAGCAGGUUAAUACCCCGCUGUUCUGACGGUACCCAAAGAAUAAGCACCGGCUAACUUCGUG
RNAcentral lists this ribosomal RNA (492 nucleotides) under uncultured bacterium. Its description in RNAcentral is "partial 16S ribosomal RNA". It matches the Rfam family "Bacterial small subunit ribosomal RNA", at positions 29 to 507 of the family's 1533-position model. The record is from RNAcentral.